GCUGGCGGCGUGCCUAACACAUGCAAGUCGCACGAGAAAGUGGAGCAAUCCAUGAGUAAAGUGGCGCACGGGUGAGUAACACGUGAAUGAUCUACCUCCGAGUGGGGAAUAACCUAGAGAAAUCUGGGCUAAUACCGCAUAACACUUACGAGUCAAAGCAGCAAUGCGCUUGGAGAGGAGUUCGCGGCCGAUUAGUUAGUUGGCGGGGUAAUGGCCCACCAAGACGAUGAUCGGUAUCCGGCCUGAGAGGGCGCACGGACACACUGGAACUGAAACACGGUCCAGACUCCUACGGGAGGCAGCAGUGGGGAAUUUUGCGCAAUGGGGGAAACCCUGACGCAGCAACGCCGCGUGGAGGAUGAAAUCCCUUGGGAUGUAAACUCCUUUCGAUCGGGACGAUUAUGACGGUACCGGAAGAAGAAGCCCCGGCUAACUUCGUGCCAGCAGCCGCGGUAAUACGAGGGGGGCAAGCGUUGUUCGGAAUUAUUGGGCGUAAAGGGCGCGUAGCGGUUUGACAAGUCUGAUGUGAAAUCUCUGGGCUCAACUCAGAGUCUGCAUUA
RNAcentral lists this ribosomal RNA (560 nucleotides) under uncultured bacterium. RNAcentral describes it as "bacterial SSU rRNA". It matches the Rfam family "Bacterial small subunit ribosomal RNA", at positions 35 to 628 of the family's 1533-position model. The record is from RNAcentral.